CCUGGCUCAGGACGAACGCUGGCGGCGUGCUUAACACAUGCAAGUCGAACGAUGAAGCCUGCAACUUGUUGUGGGUGGAUUAGUGGCGAACGGGUGAGUAAUACGUGGGUAACCUGCCCUCCUUUUUGGGAUAAGCCUUGGAAACGGGGUCUAAUACCGAAUAUUCUGGCGCUCUCGCAUGGGGGUGUUGGGAAAGCUUUUGUGUGAAGGGGGAUGGGCUCGCGGCCUAUCAGCUUGUUGGUGGGGUGAUGGCCUACCAAGGCGGUGACGGGUAGCCGGCCUGAGAGGGUGACCGGCCACAUUGGGACUGAGAUACGGCCCAGACUCCUACGGGAGGCAGCAGUGGGGGAUAUUGCACAAUGGGCGAAAGCCUGAUGCAGCGACGCCGCGUGGGGGAUGAAGGCUUUCGGGUUGUAAACCUCUUUCGCUAUCGAACAAGGCCCNCUUAGGGUGGGUUGAGGGUAGGUGGAGAAGAAGCGCCGGCUAACUACGUGCCA
This 497-nucleotide ribosomal RNA is filed under the name Actinotignum schaalii. Its description in RNAcentral is "bacterial SSU rRNA". It matches the Rfam family "Bacterial small subunit ribosomal RNA", at positions 18 to 510 of the family's 1533-position model. The record is from RNAcentral. Lineage: Bacteria; Bacillati; Actinomycetota; Actinomycetes; Actinomycetales; Actinomycetaceae.